UAAAAUUAAAUAAUUGAAAUAAUUAAAUAUAAAUGGUUUUAUAGUAUAAGGAAAGAUUUUGUAAAUAAAUUAAUAUAGUUUGUUUUGUAAUAAUUAUUUUUAAAUAAAGUAAUAUUAAAAUUUUUAGUUAAAGUAUAAAGUGAGAAUUAAUAAAAUUAAUGUUAUUGAUAGUAAUGAAAAUGAUUUUUAAAGAAAAGAAAAAAGUAAAUUUUAUAUAUUGUACCUUUUGUAUAAGGGUUAAUUAAAAAAAAUAUUUAAAUUUAAAUAUUUCUCGAAUUUAAUAGAUUUAUUUAAAAAUUUUAGUUAGUGUAGAAAUAUUAUUAAUAAUUUUUAAAUAGAAGUGAAAUGUUAACCGAUUUUAAAUAUAUCUAGUUUUUUUAGAAUUGAAUAUAAUUCAGAUUUAUAAAUUAUAAGAAUAAAAAUUAUUUUUAUGAGUAUAAGUUUAUAAAUUAAUUAUUUUUGGGAUAAACUAAAGAUAUAUAAAUAACUUAAAAAUUAAAUAAAUAGUAGAAAUAUCUAUAAAAUUUGGAUUUUUUAAAAAAAAUGUUAUAAUUUAUAUAUUAAUGUAAUAAUAAUAGAUUUGAUAUAGAGUUUUUAUUUAUAUAAAAAAAAAUUAUUUAAUAAAAAAAUUAAAUGUUAUAAUGAUUAAAUUAGUAAAUUUAUAAUUGUAUAAUUAAUUAAUUAUUUCAAAAUUAUAUUAAGGAAUUUGACAAAAAUUUUAUUAAUAUAAAGAUAUAUUCACCUGUUUAUCAAAAACAUGGCUUAUUUGAUAAUAAAUAAUAGGUCUAUUCUGCCCAUUGAUUAAGAUUAAAAGGCUGCAGUAUAUUGACUGUACAAAGGUAGCAAAAUCAUUUGUUUUUUAAUUGAAAACUGGAAUGAAAGAGUGAAUGAAAUAUAAAUUGUCUCAGUAUAAUGAUAUUGAAUUUAAAUUAAAAGUUAAAAUGCUUUUAUGAAUUUAUAAGACGAUAAGACCCUAUAGAAUUUAAUAAAAUUUGUUUUUUAAAAUUAAUUUUUUGAUAAGAUUUAACUGACAAAUAUAUUUUAUUGGGAGGAUAAUUAAAAUAGCUAAACUUUAAUAGGAUUAAAACAUAGAUUAAUGAGUAGUUUGAUUAUUAUUAUAAUUAUUAGAAUAAAUUACCUUAGGGAUAACAGCGUUAUAAUUUUGGAGAGUUCAUAUUGAUAAAAUUGUUUGCGACCUCGAUGUUGAAUUAUGAUAAAAAUUAAAUGGAGAAAUUUAAAUUUUUAGUCUGUUCGACUAUUAAAAUCAUACAUGAUUUGAGUUCAGAUCGGUGAAAGCCAGAUCGGUUUCUAUCUAUAAAAAAAGUAUAUUUUAUUGUACGAAAGGACUUAAAAUAUUAAAUAUUUUAUAAUAAAGAUUAAUAAAAAGUUAAUUUUAAUGAAUAAAAUUAAAUUAUGAAUUUAUAGUGCUAGAGCGGGUAGUGUAUAAAUAAAAAACUUUAAAAUAUUUAUUUAAAAAUAAAUUAUAUUGGAAGGUAAG
This 1498-nucleotide ribosomal RNA is filed under the name Vespa mandarinia (Asian giant hornet). RNAcentral describes it as "16S ribosomal RNA". The record is from RNAcentral. Lineage: Eukaryota; Metazoa; Arthropoda; Insecta; Hymenoptera; Vespidae.